This 426-nucleotide ribosomal RNA is filed under the name uncultured Actinomycetes bacterium. Its description in RNAcentral is "bacterial SSU rRNA". It matches the Rfam family "Bacterial small subunit ribosomal RNA", at positions 958 to 1385 of the family's 1533-position model. Lineage: Bacteria; Bacillati; Actinomycetota; Actinomycetes. The record is from RNAcentral.
AACGCGAAGAACCUUACCUGGGCUUGACAUGUCCCUGACCGCCGUGGAAACACGGCUUCCCUUCGGGGCAGGGUCACAGGUGGUGCAUGGCUGUCGUCAGCUCGUGUCGUGAGAUGUUGGGUUAAGUCCCGCAACGAGCGCAACCCCCGUCGCAUGUUGCCAGCAUUUAGUUGGGGACUCAUGCGAGACUGCCGGUGACAAACCGGAGGAAGGUGGGGAUGACGUCAAGUCAUCAUGCCCCUUAUGUCCAGGGCUACACACGUGCUACAUUGGCGCGUACAGAGGGUUGCGAUACCGCGAGGUGGAGCGAAUCCCUCAAAGCGCGUCUCGGUUCGGAUUGCAGGCUGAAACUCGCCUGCAUGAAGGCGGAGUUGCUAGUAAUCGCGGAUCAGCACUGCCGCGGUGAAUACGUUCCCGGGCCUUGUA